Molecule: ribosomal RNA, 732 nt
Filed under: Clavariopsis aquatica
Lineage: Eukaryota; Fungi; Ascomycota; Dothideomycetes; Pleosporales
Description: partial 28S ribosomal RNA
Rfam family: Eukaryotic large subunit ribosomal RNA (bases 82-732)
Source: RNAcentral
GCAGCCGGUAUGUGGGCUUCGUGCGCAGCACAUUGUGUCACGAUCCAGUCUACCUCCUUCCAUUAAGCCUCUUUUUUACUUUGACCUCGGAUCAGGUAGGGAUACCCGCUGAACUUAAGCAUAUCAAUAAGCGGAGGAAAAGAAACCAACAGGGAUUGCCCCAGUAACGGCGAGUGAAGCGGCAAUAGCUCAAAUUUGAAAUCUGGCUCUUUCAGAGUCCGAGUUGUAAUUUGCAGAGGGCGCUUUGGUGUCGGCAGCGGCCUAAGUUCCUUGGAACAGGUCAUCAUAGAGGGUGAGAAUCCCGUAUGUGGCUGAUUGUCUUCACCGUGUAAAGCCCCUUCGAUGAGUCGAGUUGUUUGGGAAUGCAGCUCUAAAUGGGAGGUAAAUUUCUUCUAAAGCUAAAUAUUGGCCAGAGACCGAUAGCGCACAAGUAGAGUGAUCGAAAGAUGAAAAGCACUUUGGAAAGAGAGUCAAAAAGCACGUGAAAUUGUUGAAAGGGAAGCGCUUGCAGCCAGACGUGCCCGCAGUUGCUCAUCUCUGGUUUUCCAGGGUGCACUCUUCUGUGGGCAGGCCAGCAUCAGUUCAGGCGGCUGGAGAAAGACCUGUGUCAUGUAGCUGUCUUCGGGCAGUGUUAUAGGGCAGGUGGAAUGCAGCCAGCUUGAACUGAGGUCCGCGCAUCUGCUAGGAUGCUGGCGUAAUGGCUGUAAGCGGCCCGUCUUGAAACACGGACCA